This 259-nucleotide ribosomal RNA is filed under the name uncultured bacterium. Its description in RNAcentral is "partial 16S ribosomal RNA". It matches the Rfam family "Bacterial small subunit ribosomal RNA", at positions 96 to 354 of the family's 1533-position model. The record is from RNAcentral.
UGGCGGGACGGGUGAGUAACGCGUGGAAAACCUGCCGUAUACUGGGGGAUAACACUUAGAAAUAGGUGCUAAUACCGCAUAAGCGCACAGCUUCGCAUGAAGCGGUGUGAAAAACUCUGGUGGUAUACGAUGGUUCCGCGUCUGAUUAGCUAGUUGGUGGGGUAAUGGCCUACCAAGGCAACGAUCAGUAGCCGGCCUGAGAGGGUGAACGGCCACAUUGGGACUGAGACACGGCCCAAACUCCUACGGGAGGCAGCAG